RNAcentral lists this long non-coding RNA (712 nucleotides) under Rosa chinensis. RNAcentral describes it as "sRNA RchiOBHm_Chr2g0148681". Lineage: Eukaryota; Viridiplantae; Streptophyta; Magnoliopsida; Rosales; Rosaceae. The record is from RNAcentral.
UUUCACCACCUCUAGACCACCAAAAAGCGUCAAAUCGGUGGCUACGGACUCGUCUUGACCUCCUCUUGGCCCCUACGGUGGUUGCUCACUGCGGCUUGGCCGGAAAACGACGUAUCGGGUCCUUGAAGUUUACUGUAGCAGGUGACCGUUGACCCGAAUUCCGGCCACCUCCGGCGACAAAGCCAGGCUUUUUAGAAGCGUCUUGAGGCGUACUUAAAGCUCCCCAAAUAUCUUGAAACGAUUUGCAGCGUGGAGGAAGAAAGCAUAAUUAGAAAAUUUUACUGUACUUCGGUGUGCUUAAUUGUUCGGCCACUUCAAGGUAUUUUCUGACUUUGUCACAGUUGAGAAAGUUAUUGGAAAUGUUGAGAUGAUGUUGUGGAUGAAAUUUGGUGGCCGGAGGAGGAGUUGGCCGCUGCAUGAACAGUGUUGCAGCAUGAACAGUGCGAUGGUGAAUAGUGCGGGUGAUUGACGGUCUUCCUUGGUGGGCGGUUUGGUGUGUAUUGUGAAAUUGAAGACGCAGCGGGAUUAGAGCGGGUAGUCCUGCAGGUCAGGAGGAUCAUGGUGGAGAUCGUGCGGAUUAGAGUAUUUGUUUUAUGUGCUGUAUUAAAUAACUUGAGGAUUUGGUUUAUUGUUUUAGUGAGAGGUGUGAAGUGUGGUUGUUUGUGAAAAAAAAAUUCAGGACUUUUAUUUGUAAUUGUUAUUAUUCACGUUU